This 478-nucleotide ribosomal RNA is filed under the name Escherichia coli. RNAcentral describes it as "bacterial SSU rRNA". It matches the Rfam family "Bacterial small subunit ribosomal RNA", at positions 1055 to 1533 of the family's 1533-position model. RNAcentral also lists the same sequence under 2 other names. The record is from RNAcentral. Lineage: Bacteria; Pseudomonadati; Pseudomonadota; Gammaproteobacteria; Enterobacterales; Enterobacteriaceae.
UCAGCUCGUGUUGUGAAAUGUUGGGUUAAGUCCCGCAACGAGCGCAACCCUUAUCCUUUGUUGCCAGCGGUCCGGCCGGGAACUCAAAGGAGACUGCCAGUGAUAAACUGGAGGAAGGUGGGGAUGACGUCAAGUCAUCAUGGCCCUUACGACCAGGGCUACACACGUGCUACAAUGGCGCAUACAAAGAGAAGCGACCUCGCGAGAGCAAGCGGACCUCAUAAAGUGCGUCGUAGUCCGGAUUGGAGUCUGCAACUCGACUCCAUGAAGUCGGAAUCGCUAGUAAUCGUGGAUCAGAAUGCCACGGUGAAUACGUUCCCGGGCCUUGUACACACCGCCCGUCACACCAUGGGAGUGGGUUGCAAAAGAAGUAGGUAGCUUAACCUUCGGGAGGGCGCUUACCACUUUGUGAUUCAUGACUGGGGUGAAGUCGUAACAAGGUAACCGUAGGGGAACCUGCGGUUGGAUCACCUCCUUA